This 70-nucleotide transfer RNA is filed under the name Bos taurus (domestic cattle). It matches the Rfam family "tRNA". From Rfam's summary of the family: Transfer RNA (tRNA) molecules are approximately 80 nucleotides in length. Lineage: Eukaryota; Metazoa; Chordata; Mammalia; Artiodactyla; Bovidae. The record is from Rfam by way of RNAcentral. RNAcentral also lists the same sequence under 5 other names.
UCCUGAUGUCUUAGCAAUAAAGAAUCUGCCUGCAAAGCAGGAGACCCUGGUUGGAUCCCUGGGUCGGGAA